AAGAAAACUCAUUAAAUAUGC
Molecule: small RNA, 21 nt
Filed under: Brassica napus (rape)
Lineage: Eukaryota; Viridiplantae; Streptophyta; Magnoliopsida; Brassicales; Brassicaceae
Description: PsRNA_62
Source: RNAcentral